UACGUAGGGGGCAAGCGUUGUCCGGAAUCAUUGGGCGUAAAGAGCGUGUAGGCGGCCAGAUAAGUCCGCUGUGAAAUCUCGAGGCUCAACUUCGAGCUGUCGGUGGAAACUGUCGGGCUAGAGUCCGGAAGAGGAGAAUGGAAUUCCUGGUGUAGCGGUGAAAUGCGCAGAUAUCAGGAAGAACACCCGUGGCGAAGGCGGUUCUCUGGGACGGUACUGACGCUGAGACGCGAAAGCGUGGGGAGCGAACAGG
This 253-nucleotide ribosomal RNA is filed under the name uncultured bacterium. Its description in RNAcentral is "partial 16S ribosomal RNA". It matches the Rfam family "Bacterial small subunit ribosomal RNA", at positions 524 to 776 of the family's 1533-position model. The record is from RNAcentral.